CACCAUAAGUUUUCUCACUUGACAAAUCUGAAUCUGUUGAAGAAACGGAUCUAUGUACCAUAAGUUUUCUCAAAUUCUUUUGUUCUUUCUCCCUGUUUUAAUUUUAAUUUUCAUCGCCUUAUUUGAUCCUUUAUAGGCCAACCACAAAAAGACCAAUAGAAAACUGACUUAACUUCCAAUAGUUCACAGGUCUUUGCUUUGCUCAGUUAUAUUUAUUUUAUGCUAAGAGCUGAACUAGAUGACUUGAUUAUGGCGAAGGGGCAGAGCAUAUACAUGCAGGCUAGACUACAGAAGUUAUACAUGGACGAUAAGAUUUGGUCUCAUUCGUGGUCCAAUGUUGUGGUAGGACUCCUCUUUUAUACUCCCAAGAGUAUUUACUCCCACCUUAUCCAAUAGGUUUAUCCACUUGAUUUUUUAAAUUGAAUAUAUAUCCGUUAAUGGUUGCACAGCCCACCGCUGCAUGCAUAACAGAAUUGAUCGUGUGCAUGGUUGUUAGAUUUUUUAACGAGCAAUCGAACAUGCAUGUUCACCCUUUUCUAGUUGUAGGUUUCAGUGCUUUAUAUCUUGUAUGAGCAACACGAGCAGUAUCUUGUUAAAAAAAUUGGUAUUUCAAGAGUACAAUUAAUGAUGACAUAGUAUCUGCCGCCUUUUCUUCCUUUUCAAUUGAGAGGAUCAAGUAUAUACUACAAGCGUGCAUAUGUAUAUACCAUGUAUUUCCUAAAUUACAUUUUUUCUCUCUCUCUAUCCUUUUGGUAUUAGUAUGCGCUCAUUCUCAAUUACGGAAAUGAAGUAUAUACCACCUAAUUUCCAUAGUAUAUAUUGUAGGGUGCAUAGUAGUAUAUAGCUCUUACUAUUUUUUUAUCUCGACAGUAUAUACUUCGUGAGCCUAGUAUUAUACCAUCAAAAAGAGUUUACUAUUUUUUGAAGAAGUAUAUACUACAUUCUAAUGGAUUAUGUGCUACUUAAUUUUGGAAGGAGUAUAUGUUGAGUUUUUUUUCUCUGGAUGUAGUACAGUAUAUACCUCCUUUCAUGAAUAACAAUCAUUUACUGCCCAACGUUAUUUCACAAAAUGGGAAGAAUUUAUGUGAUACAGGAAAAUAAAAAAGAGAGUAUGCUAGCACA
RNAcentral lists this long non-coding RNA (1122 nucleotides) under Hordeum vulgare. RNAcentral describes it as "long non-coding RNA (HVUL_LNC013261)". Lineage: Eukaryota; Viridiplantae; Streptophyta; Magnoliopsida; Poales; Poaceae. The record is from RNAcentral.